Molecule: ribosomal RNA, 268 nt
Filed under: uncultured bacterium
Lineage: Bacteria
Description: partial 16S ribosomal RNA
Rfam family: Bacterial small subunit ribosomal RNA
Source: RNAcentral
AUGGCGACCGGCGUACGGGUGAGUAACGCGUAUCCAACCUGCCCUUUACUAUGGGACAGCCCGUCGAAAGGCGGAUUAAUACCGUAUGUUGUCAUGUUGAUGCAUAUUUUCAUGACCAAAGGCUUCGGCCGGCAAAGGAUGGGGAUGCGUCUGAUUAGCUUGCCGGCGGGGUAACGGCCCACCGGGGCGACGAUCAGUAGGGGUUCUGAGAGGAAGGUCCCCCACAUUGGAACUGAGACACGGUCCAAACUCCUACGGAAGGCAGCAG